Long non-coding RNA from Drosophila simulans, 1993 nucleotides. RefSeq lists it as uncharacterized. The record is from RefSeq and is a predicted model, not a curated record. Lineage: Eukaryota; Metazoa; Arthropoda; Insecta; Diptera; Drosophilidae. The transcript has 2 exons.
AGUUUCUUACAAAAACUCAACGAGUAAAGUCUUCUUAUUUGGGAUUUUACACCCUUCGACUCGUUUUGCCUAUGUUGUGUGUUCAAUCAAAUUGACACGCUUUCCCUUUUUGCUUCAUUUCCUUUGGCCGUCUUCUUUUGCAGCCUGUUUGCAUUUGCAUUUAAAUUACAUUGGAUACCGAAAUUUGAAAACGAUACGCAGGGUUUUUCUCUCAAUUUCGGGUCUGCUGGGAACGCGGAUUGUGGGAUUGGCUUGAACUUUGCCCAGACCCGAUGCAAAAAUGUGAUACUCUGCAUUAACGAUCCCCAAGAGCUGGAAAUCACAAGGGAGGGAGUAUGAUACUCGAUUUUUUAGGGAUUGAGAAAACGGAACAGUAUAAUUGGCAUAAUAAAAACAUUAAUUAAAUACAUGGCUUAAUAUUGAAGGGAUUGAAGGGGUGCUGGCUUGGUGAUUGCUUAUCAGAAAUUCAAAUUUCCCCUUUUCCAGGCGAAUAACACAAUAUUUCUGCCCAUAUGUGUAGCCCACGAAGUGAACGAUUUUAAUCAGCGACUGCUGUCCAUUUCAGUUGCUGUUUAUGUUGUUUUUCCACACUUUAUUUUAUUUGCGCUGCUUUCAUGCGUCAAAAUAUUUUCCAGUUUUAGUAGCUGUUGUUGCCCCCGUGCUGUAGACUGUGUGUAGUGUCGUUGUUCCAGUUCUCCCGAUGAUGAUCAUUAUGAUGAAGACUUGUUAGACUUGACGCACGGCCGAAAGAGAGGGAGAACGUUCUUGUCGCGUCUCGAGGCGACUUCACCCCUCCAUAGAAUCUGGCACGGACUUCUCCGCCUCUCCACCCUCUCCACCACAACCCAUAUCACUCCACUUUCCAGUGCACCCGCGUUUGACCCCAAUUGAAGUUAACUCCGCUUGGCUGGGCGCUACUCAAAGUGUCUGUUACGAAAAUACCCUGCAAUGUGGAGUGCACGUUCUUAUCGGUACAUAAUCAAUUUACAGAGUUCAUCCACUUUUAAAUCUAUAUUUACCAUUAAAGAGAUCCAUCAUAUUUAAAACCAAAGUUAAGUUAGAUUAACAAAUCUAGAUAUUCAAUGUACUAGAACAUUUAUGGCACAAUUACAAAGUUGAUAUAGUUUUACAGAAAUAUGAAUAAUUUUAAAAUAAUAUUUUGUCUUGGUUGGUGUUGAAAAUAAAUUAAUGAUUCUUGAAUUAUUUGACGGUUCAAAUUAAUGGCGACCAUACAUUAGAAAAUCAACAUCUGCGAUCAGUUUUAUUCUUUUUGAACCUGCCAAUGUUCUCUGUGCCGCACAGUCAUGGCUAUUUCUUCUCGAUUCUUUUUGUCCCAAAGUUGUUUUCCAAGUGAAAAAACCACCCACCGCCCGCCCACUUGUACCAGCACACCUGAAGAGUUAGGCGGCCACGCCCACUUCCGUCGGCUGUCGUCUCACGCCCCUGCGCCCUCUUGUCAUCGCAUUGUGCAACACUCUUGCGUCUCUCUCUGCGAUUCUCAGUCGGGUUACUUUAGGUCAUUGCAGCUGGCGUUACGCUUCUAAUGCUCGCUUGAAGGACGUCGAGUCGACGUCGACUGCGACUGCGACUGCGACUGCGAGAGUUAUGUGCCCCGAUGUUUAUACUUUUGUUGUAGUUGUCAUUCUAUAGCCAGACUAAAGAAAAAAAAAAUAAAAACCAAGCGACCUUUAAGCGGUCGUCAACAUUUUGUUUACUUCAACACAAAGUCGUUUCGCUAGUCUAGCCACAAGGAAAAACGCAAACAAAACUGAGAAAAAAUUUUGAAUUUCUAAUUACAAUGGGUUCUAUCAGAUAAACAAGGAAUGCGAGGAAUGCGGGACUUGGGGUGAUAAGAGCCGCUUGCGGGAAAUGUUUCCAGGGGUUAGAUGAAAGAACUUGAUAAAAGAUUGCAUACAGUUGGCUUAGGCCUUCUAAGAGGCUCUUUACAAUUUUCACAAAGACUAGGGUUAUAUUAAUUAUAUUUUCAUAAACU